GUGAGGAAUAUUGCGCAAUGGGGGCAACCCUGACGCAGCAACGCCGCGUGGACGAUGAAGGCCUUCGGGUUGUAAAGUCCUUUUCUGAGGGACGAUAAUGACGGUACCUCAGGAAUAAGUCCCGGCUAACUACGUGCCAGCAGCCGCGGUAAAACGUAGGGGGCGAGCGUUAUCCGGAUUUACUGGGCGUAAAGCGCACGUAGGCGGCGCUGUAAGUUGGACGUGAAAGCUCCCGGCUCAACUGGGAGAGGUCGUUCAAUACUGCAGUGCUUGAGGUUGGAAGAGGAGAGUGGAAUUCCCGGUGUAGUGGUGGAAUGCGUAGAUAUCGGGAGGAACACCAGUGGCGAAGGCGGCUUUCUGGUCCACACCUGACGCUGAGGUGCGAAAGCGUGGGGAGCGAACGGGAUUAGAAACCCCUGUAGUCC
Molecule: ribosomal RNA, 425 nt
Filed under: uncultured bacterium
Lineage: Bacteria
Description: bacterial SSU rRNA
Rfam family: Bacterial small subunit ribosomal RNA
Source: RNAcentral